UACAGAGGUGGCAAGCGUUGUUCGGAAUUACUGGGCGUAAAGGGUGCGUAGGCGGCCAUCUAAGUCAGACGUGAAAUCCCCCGGCUUAACCUGGGAACUGCGUCUGAUACUGGACGGCUUGAGUAUGGGAGAGGGAUGUAGAAUUCCAGGUGUAGCGGUGAAAUGCGUAGAUAUCUGGAGGAACACCGGUGGCGAAGGCGACAUCCUGGACCGGCAUUGACGCUGAGGCGCGAAAGCCAGGGGAGCAAACGGG
Molecule: ribosomal RNA, 253 nt
Filed under: uncultured bacterium
Lineage: Bacteria
Description: partial 16S ribosomal RNA
Rfam family: Bacterial small subunit ribosomal RNA
Source: RNAcentral